AAAUGGUUUUAUCUUAGGAAAAGGUUCAGUACAACUUUAAAUCUCCCUUCCUUUCUCCUUUCCUUCCUUCCUUCUUUCCUUCCUUCCUUCCUUCCUUCCUUCCUUCCUUCCUUCCUUCCUUCCUUCCUUCCUUCCUUCCUUCCUUCCUACUCCUUUUCUCCUUUCCUCCUUCUUUCCAAAAGCACUGGGAAAAACUAACUGCCUAAAUGACAUAAUGUCACCCUCUGCUUUCUUAUCUUCAGAACCAGCCUUUGAAGCAAGAUAUUUAUAAUAUGCAGUAACUGAAAAUAAAUAAGGAAACCAAAAUACAGAUACAGAUACAGUUUACAGAUAAAUCUUCAUGAGAAGAGGGAAAGAGGAGAAAGACUGAUGAUGAUGAGAACUUUUAAUAAAUAGAAGAGAGGAAUAUACAGAGUUUUCAUCAGAUAAUAUCCAUCCUCAAUGAAACAGAACUGGGUCUUUGACUUUGAAUAUGUAUAUGAUCUUGUCAAUGAGGGGAACAUACAGUCAUCAAGCAACUGAAAGAGGCCAACUAAGGUUAUACGCCAUUGAUGUGAAGUGGAUGAACCCAAGUUGAUUUUAUGACUUUCUUAUGAGUUUUCAAAGGUUCUUUCUUUUUGCUUCUGGUCAGUUCAGAAGGAGGCAAGUGACCAGUGUCCACCUGCUAUGUCAUACUUCCUCUGUAUAUAGUAUAGGAGGCAGUAGUCAAGUAAGUGAAAUAAAAAUGAUAAAUUUCUUACAGACAUUCCAAAAGGAGCAAGUGAAGGGGAACUCUGUCCCUACACCCAUCAAGAGUUAAAUCUAUUCAAUCAAUUUUCCCAAAUAUGGAAUUUUCUUACCCCCUUAUAUUCACAUCCUCUACUAAAAUUGUCAAAUUGACACCUUCAACUGAUGUGAAACUGCUUUGUAUUCUCAAAACCAUUGCAAUAGAGUUCAAAAUUCUCAUUGAAAUGUUGAAAUGUUUUAAGUACAAAUCUCUAUGAUAUAAAGUCAUUUGAUGGUUUUACCAAUUUAUAAACAUUUGCUCCUUUAUGUCACA
Molecule: long non-coding RNA, 1039 nt
Filed under: Monodelphis domestica (gray short-tailed opossum)
Lineage: Eukaryota; Metazoa; Chordata; Mammalia; Didelphimorphia; Didelphidae
Description: lncRNA (ENSMODG00000049849.1)
Source: RNAcentral